RNAcentral lists this ribosomal RNA (488 nucleotides) under uncultured bacterium. RNAcentral's name for it is "partial 16S ribosomal RNA". It matches the Rfam family "Bacterial small subunit ribosomal RNA", at positions 28 to 507 of the family's 1533-position model. The record is from RNAcentral.
GACGAACGCUGGCGGCGUGCUUAACACAUGCAAGUCGAACGCGCCUGUCCUCUGGGUUUCUGGGGGGUGGGUGAGUGGCGAACGGGUGAGUAACACGUGAGUAACCUGCCCCCUUCUUCGGGAUAACGGUCUGAAAGGGCUGCUAAUACCGGGUAUUCACUGGUCUCCGCAUGGGGUCUGGUGGAAAGGUUUUUUUCUGGUGGGGGAUGGGCUCGCGGCCUAUCAGCUUGUUGGUGGGGUGAUGGCCCACCAAGGCUUUGACGGGUAGCCGGCCUGAGAGGGUGACCGGUCACAUUGGGACUGAGAUACGGCCCAGACUCCUACGGGAGGCAGCAGUGGGGAAUAUUGCACAAUGGGCGCAAGCCUGAUGCAGCGACGCAGCGUGAGGGAUGGAGGCCUUCGGGUUGUGAACCUCUUUCGCCCGUGGUCAAGCCGCGACGUGGGUCGUGGUGAGGGUAGUGGGUAAAGAAGCGCCGGCUAACUACGUG